UGGGGAAUUUUGGACAAUGGACGCAAGUCUGAUCCAGCCAUGCCGCGUGCGGGAAGAAGGCCUUCGGGUUGUAAACCGCUUUUGUCAGGGAAGAAACGCUCUGGGCUAAUACCCUGGGGUAAUGACGGUACCUGAAGAAUAAGCACCGGCUAACUACGUGCCAGCAGCCGCGGUAAUACGUAGGGUGCAAGCGUUAAUCGGAGUUACUGGGCGUAAAGCGUGCGCAGGCGGUUAUGCAAGACAGAGGUGAAAUCCCCGGGCUCAACCUGGGAACUGCCUUUGUGACUGCAUAGCUAGAGUACGGUAGAGGGGGAUGGAAUUCCGCGUGUAGCAGUGAAAUGCGUAGAUAUGCGGAGGAACACCGAUGGCGAAGGCAAUCCCCUGGACCUGUACUGACGCUCAUGCACGAAAGCGUGGGGAGCAAACA
Molecule: ribosomal RNA, 427 nt
Filed under: uncultured bacterium
Lineage: Bacteria
Description: bacterial SSU rRNA
Rfam family: Bacterial small subunit ribosomal RNA
Source: RNAcentral